AAUUGAGGUAGAGGUUGCGAUUUUUAUUAAGCUUGUGGAGUGAGAGGACACAAAGAAGCAAGUCUAGGAAAAAUCGCCGAAAUAGAUAAUAGCCUCCCUAUUGUCUAUUGGGACAUAAGUGAAUAGCUUAUGGACUGUCUUAGUAGAGAUGCUAAGUUGCGCUAUAUAUUUG
This 172-nucleotide non-coding RNA is filed under the name Melissococcus plutonius. Its description in RNAcentral is "Lysine sequence". It matches the Rfam family "Lysine riboswitch aptamer". From Rfam's summary of the family: Riboswitches are metabolite binding domains within certain messenger RNAs that serve as precision sensors for their corresponding targets. Allosteric rearrangement of mRNA structure is mediated by ligand binding, and this results in modulation of gene expression. The record is from RNAcentral. RNAcentral also lists the same sequence under 1 other name. Lineage: Bacteria; Bacillati; Bacillota; Bacilli; Lactobacillales; Enterococcaceae.